AAAUCCCACGGCUCAACCGUGGGGCUUGCUGGGGAUACUGCGGGCCUUGGGACCGGGAGAGGCCGGGGGUACCCCUGGGGUAGGGGUGAAAUCCUGUAAUCCCAGGGGGACCGCCAGUGGCGAAGGCGCCCGGCUGGAACGGGUCCGACGGUGAGGGACGAAGGCCAGGGGAGCGAACCGGAUUAGAUACCCGGGUAGUCCUGGCUGUAAAGGAUGCGGGCUAGGUGUCGGGCGAGCUUCGAGCUCGCCCGGUGCCGAAGGGAAGCCGUUAAGCCCGCCGCCUGGGGAGUACGGCCGCAAGGCUGAAACUUAAAGGAAUUGGCGGGGGAGCACUACAAGGGGUGGAGCGUGCGGUUUAAUUGGAUUCAACGCCGGGAACCUCACCGGGGGCGACGGCAGGAUGAAGGCCAGGCUGAAGGUCUUGCCGGACGCGCCGAGAGGAGGUGCAUGGCCGCCGUCAGCUCGUACCGUGAGGCGUCCACUUAAGUGUGGUAACGAGCGAGACCCGCGCCCCCAGUUGCCAGUCCUCCCCGCUGGGGAGGAGGCAUUCUGGGGGGACUGCCGGCGAUAAGCCGGAGGAAGGAGCGGGCGACGGUAGGUCAGUAUGCCCCGAAACCCCCGGGCUACACGCGCGCUACAAUGGGCGGGACAAUGGGAUCCGACCCCGAAAGGGGAAGGGAAUCCCCUAAACCCGCCCCCAGUUCGGAUCGCGGGCUGCAACUCGCCCGCGUGAAGCUGGAAUCCCUAGUACCCGCGUGUCAUCAUCGCGCGGCGAAUACGUCCCUGCUCCUUGCACACACCGCCCGUCACUCCACCCGAGCGGGGUCCGGGUGAGGCCUGGUCUCCCUUCGGGGAGGCCGGGUCGAGCCUGGGCUCCGUGAGGGGGGAGAAGUCGUAACAAGGUAGCCGUAGGGGAACCUACGGCUCGAUCACCUCCU
RNAcentral lists this ribosomal RNA (938 nucleotides) under uncultured Thermococcales archaeon. RNAcentral's name for it is "bacterial SSU rRNA". It matches the Rfam family "Archaeal small subunit ribosomal RNA", at positions 547 to 1478 of the family's 1478-position model. Lineage: Archaea; Methanobacteriati; Methanobacteriota; Thermococci; Thermococcales. The record is from RNAcentral.